CCCUCUCUAGCGGUAGAGCGUGAGACUCUUAAUCUCAAGGUUGCGGGUUCGACCCCCGCAUCGGGCU
Xylariaceae sp. FL0662B is the source of this 67-nucleotide non-coding RNA. The record is from the annotation of a GenBank genome assembly. NCBI's taxonomy places the organism in Eukaryota, Fungi, Ascomycota, Sordariomycetes, Xylariales, Xylariaceae.